Long non-coding RNA from Cyprinus carpio (common carp), 454 nucleotides. The record is from Ensembl. Lineage: Eukaryota; Metazoa; Chordata; Actinopteri; Cypriniformes; Cyprinidae.
GUUUUUACUGUAUUUUUAUAAUCAAAUAAAUUCAGCAUAAGAGACUCUUUCCAAAAUUAAAAAAAUCUUAAUUAUUCCAAAAUGCUUGACCAGUAUAUUAGUGUAGGCGGACAGAACUCUGUGUGAACUCGAGUUUCUUUAUAUAAAUUCCCAUCAGACUCGAGUGUUUUUUGAUAUUUUUAUCUCUCAAAUCAAUGUCAUUCCAGGCAAUAUCUCACUUGUUUGUUUGAUUUGUUUAGACUGAAGCCGAUGAUCAGCGCCGCCGGAGGGAAGAGACGCACUCAGAACCAGACUGUCUUUGUUUCGCUCUGACAAACAAUGUGGUGUUCAAGCAUGGACGAGAUAAUCAAGGAGGCGCUUUGACAUUGGCUAGCCACGGGUUGGAGAGGCUGUGGAUGAGAAAAUCGUAAGGGAGGACCACCCAUUGGGCUCGGAGGAGAGAGAUUCCCUACAC